Long non-coding RNA from Salvelinus sp. IW2-2015, 614 nucleotides. RefSeq lists it as uncharacterized. The record is from RefSeq and is a predicted model, not a curated record. Lineage: Eukaryota; Metazoa; Chordata; Actinopteri; Salmoniformes; Salmonidae.
GGUGGUGUUUUCUACUGCUGUCGUCAGGGUAACACGUCGGGCCUGCGGAUCUUAGCGCUGGAGGAGCAGCUGAGUUCCCUAGGGGCCCUGCCUGAGUUCUCCAUACACCACAGAGAAUACAGGUACAGGGAAACGUAGUCUGCAGAGACAUACAGCAAGAAGAAUAAAGAGCAAGACUGUUUGUCCAAAGCCACAGUACAACAAACUACGCAGAUCCACUUACUGUAUAAAGGGUCUCAAUUUCACGUCGUCUUGUGACUCGUAAGAUGGACCAUUCUUAAUAUAUUCAGUAUGUAUUUGUGGAUCCUCCCGAUCUGUUGAGGAGACAGAUCACUUAGAAUCUACGACUCUAGCACCCCCUAGUGGUGUUUCUCAGAAAUGUGGAAAAUGUUGACUUAACACAAAGCAACAUGCCUUUUUAACUUUUUCUUGGUAGCCUAUAUUUCGUAGAAUUUGAUUUCAGGCUGUCGCAGUCCACUCCUAAAAUAAAUUGUCUUCCUGCUCUAUUUGUUUGUCUCAGCUCAACUGGCUAUGCCUGUUUCAUUGUCUUGCUGUAAAUUGUGUUAUUCUUUAAAGUAAUUAAAGUCAGCAAAUUUCCUUGCAAAUUCAUUUUA